This 1017-nucleotide ribosomal RNA is filed under the name uncultured organism. RNAcentral's name for it is "bacterial SSU rRNA". It matches the Rfam family "Bacterial small subunit ribosomal RNA", at positions 356 to 1376 of the family's 1533-position model. The record is from RNAcentral.
GAGGAAUAUUGGUCAAUGGACGAGAGUCUGAACCAGCCAAGUAGCGUGAAGGAUGACUGCCCUAUGGGUUGUAAACUUCUUUUAUACGGGAAUAAAGUGAGGCACGUGUGCCUUUUUGUAUGUACCGUAUGAAUAAGGAUCGGCUAGCUCCGUGCCAGCAGCCGCGGUAAUACGGAGGAUCCGAGCGUUAUCCGGAUUUAUUGGGUUUAAAGGGAGCGUAGGCGGACGCUUAAGUCAGUUGUGAAAGUUUGCGGCUCAACCGUAAAAUUGCAGUUGAUACUGGGUGUCUUGAGUACAGUAGAGGCAGGCGGAAUUCGUGGUGUAGCGGUGAAAUGCUUAGAUAUCACGAAGAACUCCGAUUGCGAAGGCAGCUUGCUGGACUGUAACUGACGCUGAUGCUCGAAAGUGUGGGUAUCAAACAGGAUUAGAUACCCUGGUAGUCCACACAGUAAACGAUGAAUACUCGCUGUUUGCGAUAUACAGUAAGCGGCCAAGCGAAAGCGUUAAGUAUUCCACCUGGGGAGUACGCCGGCAACGGUGAAACUCAAAGGAAUUGACGGGGGCCCGCACAAGCGGAGGAACAUGUGGUUUAAUUCGAUGAUACGCGAGGAACCUUACCCGGGCUUGAAUUGCAACUGAAUGAUGUGGAGACAUGUCAGCCGCAAGGCAGUUGUGAAGGUGCUGCAUGGUUGUCGUCAGCUCGUGCCGUGAGGUGUCGGCUUAAGUGCCAUAACGAGCGCAACCCUUAUCGAUAGUUACCAUCAGGUUAUGCUGGGGACUCUGUCGAGACUGCCGUCGUAAGAUGUGAGGAAGGUGGGGAUGACGUCAAAUCAGCACGGCCCUUACGUCCGGGGCUACACACGUGUUACAAUGGGGGGUACAGAAGGCAGCUACACGGCGACGUGAUGCUAAUCCCUAAAGCCUCUCUCAGUUCGGAUUGGAGUCUGCAACCCGACUCCAUGAAGCUGGAUUCGCUAGUAAUCGCGCAUCAGCCACGGCGCGGUGAAUACGUUCCCG